CCUACGGGCGACAGCAGUGGGGAAUAUUUGGCAAUGGGCGCAAGCCUGACCCAGCAACGCCGCGUGAAGGAAGAAGGCUUUCGGGUUGUAAACUUCUUUUUACAGGGCAGAGCAUCAUACGGUACCUGUCGCAUAAGCCACGGCUAACGACUGGCCAUCAGCCGCUGUAAUACGUAGGUGGCAUGCGUUGUCCGGAUUUACUGGGUGUAAAGGGCGUGUAGCCGGGCUGACAAGUCCGAUGUGCCCUCCGGGGGCUCCACCCACGAACUGCAUUUGAAACUGUUGGUCGUGAGUAUCGGAGAGGCCGGCGGAAUUCCUAGUGUAGCGGUGAAAUGCGUAGAUAUUAGGAGGAACACCAGUGGCGAAGGCGGCCUGCUGGACGACAACUGACGGUGAGGCGCGAACGCGUGGGGAGCAAACAGGAUUAGAUACCCCUGUAGUC
RNAcentral lists this ribosomal RNA (442 nucleotides) under uncultured bacterium. Its description in RNAcentral is "partial 16S ribosomal RNA". It matches the Rfam family "Bacterial small subunit ribosomal RNA", at positions 338 to 795 of the family's 1533-position model. The record is from RNAcentral.